This 1444-nucleotide long non-coding RNA is filed under the name Macaca fascicularis (crab-eating macaque). RNAcentral's name for it is "lncRNA (ENSMFAG00000050721.1)". Lineage: Eukaryota; Metazoa; Chordata; Mammalia; Primates; Cercopithecidae. The record is from RNAcentral.
GGCUUAAGUAAGUAGUAUUUUAGUGGUCAUUGGAGAUAAAGUUUGAAGACAUGGAUAAGAUUGGAUGGUAGGUACCUAAUGUAUCAGGAGCCUCAGAAGGUAAGGGAUAGAGUGGCAAGAGGAGAUGGUGAUAUGAAGGAGCUGUGGAUAGGACCGCUUAGAGCCAUGGGCUAUCAAUGACUAAGGAAGUGAAAUUUGUCUUUGCCAAGCUUAAUUGAAUGUGAAUUUUUAAGAGUGUGGCUCAAACCAUCACUAACUAUGGGAAGGCUGGAGAAAAGAUUAAAUUUCUCUUUGCCCUAUUCUCAGCAUUUCUUGAUAAUCAGAAUAUCUAGAUCAAAGGUUUCCAACAGUGGCACUAUUGAUAUUGGGGACUGGGUAAUUUAUUGGAGGAGGUUGGCAACUUGUGCAUGGUAGGAUGUUGAACGACAGCCCUAUAUUCUACUUGCUACAUCCUAGCACUGUAUGUACACUACACUCUCAAUUAUGACAAUCAGAAAUGUCUCCAGACAUUGCCAAGUGUCUCCUGGGAAGAAAAAUUGCCCCCCAGUUCAAAACGAUGGAUCUAGAUAAAGGCCUUAGUCCAGUGGUAGGCAUGCAUCAAAUGCUUAGUAAGUCUUUUUAUUUUUCACUUUCCUUUUUGCUCUUCCUUUCCCACAUGGUGUCAUCCAUUUCCAAAUGACUCUUAUGCCCUCUGUUUCAUCAGUUGCAUUCAAAACCACCUCUGCAGAAGAAACCUGCCAAGUGCAUUUACAUUGUGAGUGUUUUCAUUUUAAUAUGGGCACAUCACCUUAAGCCACAGACACCAUCUGAGUUAAGUUUAGGCACCAAUGACCUGGGUGAGGCAUGUAUUUUAGAGACAUUUCCCUCCUAACCUCUCAGAAAACAGUCCAUGCAAAUGGUUUGUAUACUGCCCACUUAUAAGACAUAAAUGAGUCAUUCCCAAAGUGUGUUAGGAUGUGUUAGGUACUAAGAGAGUUUUGUGAUUAAAUACAUUUGAGAAAUUCUGGGUUAAUUAAAAUUAAACAAGUCUCUCUACUUCUCAGGUCUUCUCAGAACCUUGAAGAUGCUCACAUAUACUGUGAAUAUUCAUGAAGGAAUAUGAUUUUUAGCUUUUUACAAACUUAUUUUCACAGGCCAAGGGCCAGCAAACUACGGUCUAUGGCCCAAAUCUAGUCUACUGUCUAUUUUUAUAAACAAAAUUUUACUGGAACACAACCAUGUCCACUCAUUUACGUAUUGUCUAUGGUUGUUUUCAUGCUAUUAAUACAAUGGUAAGUUGAGUGGUUUUUACAGAAACCCCACAAAGCCUAAAGUCUUCACUAUUUGGCUUUUAAAAGAAGAAAUUUGGCCGGGCGCAGCGGCUUAUGCCUGUAAUCCCAGCACUUUGGGAGGCCAAGGCGGGUGGAUCACCUGAGGUCAGGAGACUGGUCAACAUGGUGAAACC